UUGCAAUUCUCACCACCGUUGUAAAAAAAUCACACAAAUGCUCCGAUGACGGCUAUGAUUGUCACCAUCCACAAUUAACCUUCCCUGAUCCUACCACAAGAGGACCUUAUGGGCUGACCCCAACGAGCGCAGCGGGCAUCUCCCAGUCCAGCCCCCCACCAUCUACCCCACCGGACAUUGGCACUAACCUUCCUCCAUCACCUCCUCCUCUUCUGCUGUCACCCCCGACGCUUUCCCUGCCUCCUCCUGCUGUGCCUGCUAUAACUGGGGCGCCACCUCCUAAUAAUCCGCCGAGUAGUACUGUGUUGGUGACUCCAGGUCCUGUUCAUGCUUAGCGUAGCUUAGCUUAUGGUAGCUGUACCUUUUGUGUCAUGGCUUUUUUUAUUGUAUUUAAAAAAAAAAAACAUUGUGAAUAAAUUUUUUUAUGGGUUUGUACAGGGGAUGGUUCGGUGGGUUGUGGAUUGUAUUGUCGAAUUUCGAGCAUUAGUGAAUUUACAGAACUGUCCCUGAUCUUUUGAUUAAAAAAUAUGAUGUUAUUGAUUCUUUGC
Molecule: long non-coding RNA, 548 nt
Organism: Populus euphratica (Euphrates poplar)
Lineage: Eukaryota; Viridiplantae; Streptophyta; Magnoliopsida; Malpighiales; Salicaceae
Exons: 2
Source: RefSeq, a predicted model, not a curated record